AGAGUUUGAUCCUGGCUCAGGUUGAACGCUGGCGGCAGGCCUAACACAUGCAAGUCGAACGGUAGCACAGAGAGCUUGCUCUCGGGUGACGAGUGGCGGACGGGUGAGUAAUGUCUGGGAAACUGCCCGAUGGAGGGGGAUAACUACUGGAAACGGUAGCUAAUACCGCAUAACGUCGCAAGACCAAAGAGGGGGACCUUCGGGCCUCUUGCCAUCGGAUGUGCCCAGAUGGGAUUAGCUUGUAGGUGGGGUAACGGCUCACCUAGGCGACGAUCCCUAGCUGGUCUGAGAGGAUGACCAGCCACACUGGAACUGAGACACGGUCCAGACUCCUACGGGAGGCAGCAGUGGGGAAUAUUGCACAAUGGGCGCAAGCCUGAUGCAGCCAUGCCGCGUGUAUGAAGAAGGCCUUCGGGUUGUAAAGUACUUUCAGCGAGGAGGAAGGUGUUGUGGUUAAUAACCGCAGCAAUUGACGUUACUCGCAGAAGAAGCACCGGCUAACUCCGUGCCAGCAGCCGCGGUAAUACGGAGGGUGCAAGCGUUAAUCGGAAUUACUGGGCGUAAAGCGCACGCAGGCGGUCUGUCAAGUCGGAUGUGAAAUCCCCGGGCUCAACCUGGGAACUGCAUCCGAAACUGGCAGGCUAGAGUCUUGUAGAGGGGGGUAGAAUUCCAGGUGUAGCGGUGAAAUGCGUAGAGAUU
RNAcentral lists this ribosomal RNA (699 nucleotides) under uncultured soil bacterium. RNAcentral describes it as "bacterial SSU rRNA". It matches the Rfam family "Bacterial small subunit ribosomal RNA", at positions 8 to 698 of the family's 1533-position model. The record is from RNAcentral.